UACGGGGGGGGCAAGCGUUGUUCGGAAUUACUGGGCGUAAAGGGCUCGUAGGCGGCCAACUAAGUCAUACGUGAAAUCCCUCGGCUUAACCGGGGAACUGCGUCUGAUACUGGAUGGCUUGAGUUUGGGAGAGGGAUGCGGAAUUCCAGGUGUAGCGGUGAAAUGCGCAGAUAUCGGGAGGAACACCAGAGGCGAAGGCGGCUUUCUGGCCUGUAACUGACGCUGAGGCGCGAAGGCUGGGGUAGCGAACAGG
This 253-nucleotide ribosomal RNA is filed under the name uncultured bacterium. RNAcentral describes it as "partial 16S ribosomal RNA". It matches the Rfam family "Bacterial small subunit ribosomal RNA", at positions 524 to 776 of the family's 1533-position model. The record is from RNAcentral.